RNAcentral lists this ribosomal RNA (446 nucleotides) under uncultured bacterium. Its description in RNAcentral is "partial 16S ribosomal RNA". It matches the Rfam family "Bacterial small subunit ribosomal RNA", at positions 338 to 795 of the family's 1533-position model. The record is from RNAcentral.
CCUACGGGUGGCAGCAGUCGAGAAUCAUUCACAAUGGGCGAAACCCUGAUGGUGCGACGCCGCGUGGGGGAAUGAAGGUCUUCGGAUUGUAAACCCCUGUCAUGUGGGAGCAAAUUAAAAAGAUAGUACCCCAAGAGGAAGAGACGGCUAACUCUGUGCCAGCAGCCGCGGUAAUACAGAGGUCUCAAGCGUUGUUCGGAAUCACUGGGCGUAAAGCGUGCGUAGGCUGUUUCGUAAGUCGUGUGUGAAAGGCGCGGGCUCAACCCGCGGACGGCACAUGAUACUGCGAGACUAGAGUAAUGGAGGGGGAACCGGAAUUCUCGGUGUAGCAGUGAAAUGCGUAGAUAUCGAGAGGAACACUCGUGGCGAAGGCGGGUUCCUGGACAUUAACUGACGCUGAGGCACGAAGGCCAGGGGAGCGAAAGGGAUUAGAUACCCCAGUAGUC